UGGUGCAUGGUUGUCGUCAGCUCGUGUCGUGAGAUGUUGGGUUAAGUCCCGCAACGAGCGCAACCCUUGUCUUUAGUUGCCAUCAUUAAGUUGGGCACUCUAGAGAGACUGCCAGGGAUAACCUGGAGGAAGGUGGGGAUGACGUCAAAUCAUCAUGCCCCUUAUGCUUAGGGCUACACACGUGCUACAAUGGGUAGUACAGAGGGUUGCCAAGCCGUAAGGUGGAGCUAAUCCCUUAAAGCUACUCUCAGUUCGGAUUGUAGGCUGAAACUCGCCUACAUGAAGCUGGAGUUACUAGUAAUCGCAGAUCAGAAUGCUGCGGUGAAUGCGUUCCCGGGUCUUGUACACACCGCCCGUCACACCACGGGAGUUGGAGACGCCCGAAGCCGAUUAUCUAACCUUUUGGAAGAAGUCGUCGAAGGUGGAAUCAAUAACUGGGGUGAAGUCGUAACAAGGUAGCCGUAUCGGAAGGUGCGGCUGGAUCACCUCCUUU
This 493-nucleotide ribosomal RNA is filed under the name Clostridioides difficile. RNAcentral describes it as "bacterial SSU rRNA". It matches the Rfam family "Bacterial small subunit ribosomal RNA", at positions 1039 to 1533 of the family's 1533-position model. The record is from RNAcentral. Lineage: Bacteria; Bacillati; Bacillota; Clostridia; Peptostreptococcales; Peptostreptococcaceae.